GCCUUAGUAACGGCGAGUGAAGCGGCAACAGCUCAAAUUUGAAAUCUGGCUCCUUAUGGGGUCCGAGUUGUACUUUGCAGAGGGUGGUUCGGCGUCGGCUCCUGUCUAAGUUCCUUGGAACGGGACGUCAGAGAGGGUGAGAACCCCGUACGCGAUGGGCGGCCGGUCGCCGUGUGAACCCCCUUCGACGAGUCGAGUUGUUUGGGAAUGCAGCUCUAAAUGGGAGGUAUAUUUCUUCUAAAGCUAAAUACUGGCCAGAGACCGAUAGCGCACAAGUAGAGUGAUCGAAAGAUGAAAAGCACUUUGGAAAGAGAGUCAAACAGCACGUGAAAUUGUUGAAAGGGAAGCGCUUGCAACCAGACUUGGCUGCCGUUGUUCAUCGGGGGUUUGUCCCCCGUGUACUCGACGGCAGGCAGGCCAGCAUCAGUUGGGGCGGUUGGAAAAAGGCCUUGGGAAUGUAACUCUCUUCGGGGAGUGUUAUAGCCCAGGGCGCCAUACAGCCAGCCCCGACUGAGGUCCGCGCUUCGGCUAGGAUGCUGGCGUAAUGGUCGCAAGCGGCCCGUCUUGAAACACGGACCAAGGAGUCUAACAUCUAUGCGAGUGUUUGGGUGUCAAGCCCGGGCGCGGAAUGAAAGUGAACGGAGGUGGGACCCAGGGCGCGAGCUUUGGCGCACCAUCGACCGAUCCUGAUGUCUUCGGAUGGAUUUGAGUAAGAGCAUAGCUGUUGGGACCCGAAAGAUGGUGAACUAUGCCUGAAUAGGGUGAAGCCAGAGGAAACUCUGGUGGAGGCUCGCAGCGGUUCUGACGUGCAAAUCGAUCGUCAAAUUUGGGCAUAGGGGCGAAAGACUAAUCGAACUAUCUAGUAGCUGGUUCCUGCCGAAGUUUCCCUCAGGAUAGCAGUAACGUAUUCAGUUUUAUGAGGUAAAGCGAAUGAUUAGAGGCCUGGGGGUUGAAACAACCUUCACCUAUUCUCAAACUUUAAAUAUGUAAGAAGUCCUUGUUGCUUUGUU
This 1010-nucleotide ribosomal RNA is filed under the name Delitschia chaetomioides. RNAcentral describes it as "eukaryotic LSU rRNA". It matches the Rfam family "Eukaryotic large subunit ribosomal RNA", at positions 77 to 1096 of the family's 3401-position model. Lineage: Eukaryota; Fungi; Ascomycota; Dothideomycetes; Pleosporales; Delitschiaceae. The record is from RNAcentral.